Molecule: long non-coding RNA, 758 nt
Filed under: Salvia miltiorrhiza (redroot sage)
Lineage: Eukaryota; Viridiplantae; Streptophyta; Magnoliopsida; Lamiales; Lamiaceae
Description: long non-coding RNA (SMIL_LNC001791)
Source: RNAcentral
GAUCAUCAACUUUUGAAAAAGGUGUCUGUGCCUUGAAAGUCUUUGAUUGGACAAAAGUUUGUCUGCCAUCUUCUGCUUUUGAGUGCCUGUGCCUUGAAAGUCUUUGAUUGGACAAAAGUUGUGCCUUGAAAGUCUUUGAUUGGACAAAAGUUUGUCUGCCAUCUGCUGCUUUUGAAAAGAGUGCCACAAUUGUCUGUUUGAAUGAGACUCAUGAUGGAAUGGUGAUGUCGGCCUUGAAUUUCCUGCAUUGAAUUAGGUUAGUUGAAAUUUUUUUAUUUUUCUUUCUUUUUUCUUUUGUUUUUCUUUUCUUUUCUUUUUUGUUGUUUUUUCUUCUUUUCUUUCUUUUUUCUUUUGCUUCUUUUUUCUUUUCUUUUUUAUGAAUAGGAUGAAUAGGUAGUCAGAAAUCAAAGGGAUCUUGUUCACAUGGUCCUCCAUAAUCUGCACAAGAUCCUUCAGAGGUGGUAUCUUCUGUUUCUGAUUCUCUUUUCAUCUUGAUGAAUUGUAAAUACUCUUUUGCUGUUUCGGGAUCCUCUUCAAAGAGUUGAAACAUCUUGACUUGCUUUUGAGAAAGAGGAACUGAUUCCUUUUCUUUUUUCUUUUCAUUGGAAGGAAGAUCUGGAAUAAUUUUCUCUUGAACUGGUUUCUCCCACUUGGGUUUUUCACCUGUCUGGAGAAAUUUCUGAAUAACAUUGAAAUUGCAGAGCUUGGUGGAGAAGUUUUUCCACCAUUUAAUUUUGAAUUCUCGAAUGAUUGACAUG